UGGCUUCCUUGCCUACAGGAUGGAAGAUGUACACCGGGAGUGGAACAAUGGAGUAGGUUUUUUUGGCAGUGAACUUGUACUGAUCCAAUCAGUGACCUUCAUUUCAGGAAUUCAGGAAUCUCUGGAAGUGCGAGGAUCUGCCCCAUUGUCAUCCUGCCGCUCCUGGCUCAUCUACAUCUGACCUUCUGUUUACAACCAAGCCCGGAGGAAGCUGCUGGGGGAAAGCAGAGCCUGGCACUAGAGAAGCAUCCUGACAAAAUAAUUACAGCGUCAGCAAGAGAGUGA
This 285-nucleotide long non-coding RNA is filed under the name Sus scrofa (pig). RNAcentral's name for it is "lncRNA (ENSSSCG00060026724.1)". The record is from RNAcentral. Lineage: Eukaryota; Metazoa; Chordata; Mammalia; Artiodactyla; Suidae.